Molecule: ribosomal RNA, 274 nt
Filed under: uncultured bacterium
Lineage: Bacteria
Description: partial 16S ribosomal RNA
Rfam family: Bacterial small subunit ribosomal RNA
Source: RNAcentral
AUACGGAGGGUGCAAGCGUUACCCGGAAUCACUGGGCGUAAAGCGCGCGCAGGCGGCUAUUUAAGUUGGAUGUGAAAGCCUACGGCUCAACCGUAGAACUGCAUCCAAAACUAUUUAGCUAGAGUGUGGGAGAGGAAGAUGGAAUUAGUUGUGUAGGGGUAAAAUCCGUAGAGAUAACUAGGAAUACCAAAAGCGAAGGCAAUCUUCUGGAACACUACUGACGCUGAGGCGCGAAAGCGUGGGGAGCAAACGGGAUUAGAAACCCUAGUAGUCC